Molecule: long non-coding RNA, 16092 nt
Organism: Mangifera indica (mango)
Lineage: Eukaryota; Viridiplantae; Streptophyta; Magnoliopsida; Sapindales; Anacardiaceae
Exons: 3
Source: RefSeq, a predicted model, not a curated record
GGGGAAGAAAGACUGACAGAAGAGAGUGAGCGCACGCAGGCAAUUGUCUCAGAAAACACUUUUGCGGGUGCGUGCUCACUUAUCUUUCUGUCGGGUCGAAACUCUUCACUUCUCUCUCUCAUCUUUACAACUCAGACUACUGAAAAUUUUUCUUCCGCUUAUCUGUUGACGUCCACUCUUCUCUCUCUAUAAGUUUCUAUAGAACCCUUGACUUAUAUCGAUAUUGAGGGUUAAAAAUUAGAAGAGAAUGAAAAACGAAAAGAAGUGACACGUUGAGGGUUGAGCUCUGCAUCAUGAAGAGAGAAGUUACAGUAAGAUCGUAUUUAAUUUUUUUAUGAAUGUGUACGUAUGUAUAUUAAUCUUAUAUUAUAAUAAUGAGAAUAAUAUCUGAUGGAGCUUGAAAUUGGAAAGCGUGACUUUUCAUGGUCCUCUAUUUGUCUUUGAAGAUGGCGAACAACUUGAAGCUUUGCUACUUUAUGUUUUUGCUUCCUCUUUGUGAUCUGGAUUUGGUUGGCAUCAAAACUUUUGUGUCUUUGACUCGAUAAUUUUUUUUCCUUAAAUGAGAAAAAUAGUUUGUUUUCACUUCUGGGAAAAUAUGCUUGACUUUGUAGCCAUGAAUGAAGUUUCCCAAGAAGGCAAUCUUUUUGUUCAGGUUGGGAAUCCCUUCUGAGCAUGCUGAUUUUUGUCGAUUCUUAUUUUGUUCCCAUUUUAGGGCAGGAGCAAAUUAGGUCUGUUUUUGUUUUUAUUUAUUUUGUUUUGGAGAAAUUAAGAAAUUUAUAAAAUAUAAAAGAAAAUACAAGAUAGGAGGGGCAUACCCCAAGCAAAGUCACAAAAACUCACCAUUCGUUUCCAAUUCAUUUAAGUGUAUUAUUGUUUUCAGAACCAUUUGUUGUUUGGUUCUGGGGGGCAACAACAAACAUCUUCUAUUUCCUGGAGCGUAAUUACUCAGAAUAUUGAAGCAGAAAAAGGUGUGGAAAUGAUGAAACAAACAAUCAUCCAAGGAUGAAAUUGCCUGGAUUUAAUUGCAACCAUGCUUAGGAUUAAGAUGCUUAUAUGUCAAGUGCAUUGGGUCAUUUUAUACAUAAUGAGCGAUCAGUUUUGUAAUAACUAAUGAUUCAAUAGAUUGAGAUUGACCACAUGAAAAAUUAGAUUCUAAAAGAUGUUGUCGUGCCCCUUUUCUUUAAGUAACUUUUGGUGAAUUUGUCUUGAGAGGAAGACCCUUCAUUUAUUUGGUGGGCAUCUUUGGUCCCAUGAAUAGAUGGAAGCACAAUUUCUCAUGUUAGAAAGAAGAGUAGAGGUUAGCUUUCAUUUUAAAUGUCACUAACCAUUGAGGAGUAAUCAAAGGACAGCAUCCUUUUAAUUCACAUAUUUCAACAAAUUUCAUUAAAGGUGGACAAAAUUACAAUUUUAUCUCCUAAAAUGAUCAUUUUGAGAUAAAAAGUUAAAAUAUUCCUGCAUAUUUCAUGUCUAAAAUUAAGUGUUAUACUUUGGUAGACAAAAAUUAAUUUUUUGUCCCCUAAAAUGAUUACUCUAAAAUAAAACUAAAAACGUUCCUAAAAUUAAGUGCUAUACUUUGGUGGGCAAACAUUGGUCAUUCUGAGACGAAACUGAAAUCAUCCCUAAAUUGAAUUUUUUAUGUAGUGGCAAAUAUUGUUCAAUUUUUCAUUUAAUGAGCUUUACAUGUCUUUACCCACAUUACUACAUGUCAAUUCUGUUUCAUUCUGAGUAAGGUGUGUUUCUGAUGAUUAAACAAUGUGACAUACUAUUUUGCUGACAUUUAUGCUAUGGAAAUACAUAAAAAUGUCUCUAAUUAGCAAAGUUGGGUUAGAAUUUAUCUCGUAUAAUAACUUAGAUUCAUUUGUCAUAAAUAAAUUCUAGGCUUUCUUAAUUUAAUUGAAUAUUUUAAGAAGCAAAACUAAUCUGAAAAUUCAUUUUAAAUCAAGUGUUUAUUAUACUUUACCAUAUACAUGGUUCAUGUGUUAAACUAAAACCAUCUAUUGGUAUAUUUGGGGUGAGCUACUAUGUCAAUUAUUGUGACCAAAGUCCUUCAUGUUCAUCUUACAGUCUUGUUAAAAGUUUCUCAACUUGAUUUCAGUUUGAUCUUUAAAGAUUUUAGUAUAAUUUUUUUGCUCAUUAAUUGUAAGAUGUUUGUUCACUAUCUAAAAUGAGUAAAACUAUGUGUACUAACAUUGAGUACUAAUAUAUAUACUAAUGGUAAUGUGUUAUUUUAUUUUUAAUUCAAAAUCACCAAAUGAUAUGAUGAUAUGCUAUUGUUAGUACACAAAUUAAUAUUCAUUAUUUAGACCCGUAGUUUAUUGUUUUUAUCAUUGCAUCCGUAUGACAAAAAGUUGGCCAUUGGUGUUUGUGCCUGAAUACUAAUUAGGAAGUAAAAAUUUUCUCUGAAAUCUUUCUCUAUCAAGGCAAAAUUGAAGGAAAACCAUUUAACAUGCUAUGUGAAACUGGUUUGAAGAUGGUUCCAUAAGACAUUUAGCAAUGGUACAUAUUCACUUACACAAACAUAGAUAGGGACUUGUUUUCACAUUGAAGGUAGAGAUAUUAGUAUUAAUGUUGAGCCUCCACUUACUAACUUGAACUUUAGGGUUAAGUGGUAACAUAAUAUUAGAGUCAAAGCUUUUUAGAUUAGAUGUGAGCCUAACUGAAGGAAUUAUGCAAGACAGUUAAUCCUUGGAGGCUUAUCUUAUUGAGUUUAUUUUAGGUCAAGUAUUAACUUAGUAGAAACAAUCAAGCAAUAUCGUAAACCUAAGAAGCUAAUCUUUUUAUCUAUCUACUAACUUAAGCUUUUAGGUCAGAUGGUAACUUAUUGUGAUAUUGUUAGAAACUUGAAACCUUCAACACCUGAAUCACAACAUGAAAUUAAAGCAAACCAACACACCAAAAAUUGAAUGAAAGAGCCUUCACCACUGCUAUUUUAUAUAUGAACAAGGACACAUUUACAAGAUUGGUCCCUUGUAGUAAGUAAAAAAAAAACAAAAGAAGAAGAAUAAGAAAGAAAACAAAUACCUAAAAUGAUUAUUAGCAAUUCGAGAAGCCAUAACCUCUCAAAUCAGCUAAAGGCUAACCAAACAAAACCCAAACUCUUCUCUUGCUUUUUCGUUGUUAUAACCGACUCUGAUGAAUAUUCCAAUUCAGUUUGGACUCAACUAACGAUGUAGCAUAACACUCCAAAACGCAACAUUCACUUAUUCCGGUUUACCCACUACCUAUCUAUUACAUCUUCACUCCAAUCCUUAUAAUUCUAUCAAUUUACCCGCUACUCGCAUCUUCACUCUAAUCUACAUAAUUCUAUCCACAAACAAUCCUAACAAGUAUCAAAGCCAAAGAUUUCAAAUUCAACUUCCAAAAUUUGAACCAGAUAAAAAUAAAACCGAAGCCUCCACCAACUAGUUUAAUAAUUUAAUUCAAUUAUUUACUAAACAUAAGGAAUGGUGCAACUUUGUAAAACCUAAGUGGCUAAUUUUUUUAUCUAAAGCACGGGAAAAAUCGAUAUAUAAAUUAAUUAAAGUUUCCUACUAGUGGUUGGUAACAUAAAGAAAUAAAACAUUUAACUCAAUGAAGUCUCCUACCUUCUUCACUAUUGUGAGCUUCCUUUAGUGAGAAAUAUUUGAAUGCGGUAUGUUGACUAAUGGAUUUUGUUUUUCUUGAAUUAAUAUGCAUUUUCAUCCUUUUGUUUGAGAUUUUUUGGUGUUGUGAGAGCUAAGAUUAUUUAAAUGCAACUUAAAACUAUGAAAUCAUCCAACAUAGAAGACCAUUUUUCUAGUAGUGUGUGUGAAAAUUUUUUUACAAUGAAUGACAAUGACAAUUCAUUCAUGACCUUUAGUGGUGGAUUUUCACUGAGCUUAUGGUCAGCUUGAGCUUGACUUAAAUCCAUAUUAUCCAAUUUAAACUCAAGCUUGUUUGAGCUAGUGUACUAUAUUACUGGAGGGUUGUCAAUAGAAUAAAUAAUUUUGCUAGCGAGGUAACAAUAUCAGCAGAGGGAUAAAUAAUGUUGUAGAAGAGACAAGCAAGCCAAAAUCGAGAGUUUGGCUUGAAUCCACCCCUAUGGCCUUAAUUAGAUAGACCAAAAAAAGGAGGAAUUUAGAUUUUCUCAUCUAGUAAUAAUGUUUAGUUGACUAGUAAUAAUAAUAUUUUAGUUAUCAGAAAAUUAUCUAUCCAUUGGGACAAAGAAAUUUGGUUUGCUUAUGUUGUCUUCACUCACUGUUUUUGUAGUUUGUGAUCAAUUUACUUACAAGUAUCAAGGCUGUUUUUAUCAAUAUUUUUUAAAUAUUUGGGAUUUCUAGUUUACUCCAGCUUAAGAUAAGUUGAUAGUGCCCUAAAUAUCCACUGUUUACCCCAGAAGGACUAUUGUUCUGAAGAUGGAACUGGAAUGUGCUAGUUUUAUAGAUGUGUGUUUCUGUUGACAUGAUUUGAAGUUGGUGUAGGUUGUGACUGAGGUCAAGAGAUGGAGUAUGGUUUGUGCAAGUUUUCAUUCUCCAGUGUCUUUUUUUAUAUCCCCCUCUUUUAGAGUUGUACAUAAGCUGAUGCUAGUGAAGCAUUCAUGGUUAUAUAAUGCUCCAUUAAACUGGUUUUGUAGUGUAACAUGUGCAUGGUUCUGAAACUGAAAAUAUAAAAAAUAAUAAAACUUGCAUGAAGUGAUAUGAUCCAUGUUUCAUGAAACUUGGUUCUGAAGCUGUUGCUGCAUUUUUAUUUUUCAUCUAAUUAUAACUUUCUUUUUCUCAAAGUUUGAGGUUGACUUGAUGACUUAAAGACACGGAUCUAGGGUUUGCAAAUAAAGAAUUAGUUGUGAGAUGUCAAAUCAAGUAAUUCUAGUGCUAAAAAUCUGCAUAUUUAAACUGUCUACCAUAGUAGAAGCUGUAAUUUGGAAAAAUAAUAAUCUUAAAGUUGUGCAUCAAUCUAGUUUUGCUUGCUUGAUCCUCCCCAUGGUUAAGAACAUGCCACAGAGUGGAUUAGGGCUUGCUCUUGACCAUUGUGAAACUAUAUAUGAACCCAAACCUAAUCUUUUUCGCUAAGCUUGCACUAAAAUCUUUUAUGGUGGCUUUAUGUUGAACCUGGAUUGAUCCUGCAGGUAUGUCUUUUACAUUCUGUCUGAACCUCUUCAUGUCAUAUUCUGAAUUGCCUUUUCUUUUUUUUAUUUUUGCUGUAGUGUUUGUUUCAUUAUUUACACCUUUUUUGCUCCUAUAUUGCAUUUCUUUACUUGACCAUCUGUCAUGUUUUUCUCGUGGACCUACUGCAUUGAUCUUAUAUACUCGUAUAUUGUGUAAAAGAGGCAUUGCAUUUAGUAUUUUACCUUAACCAGACAUUGUUAUUGUAUUGAUAAUCAUCUACAACUUAAGAUUGCAUUCGAGUCGAGUCAAGCCUAGAAAUGACUGGUUUGAACUCGGUUCAAAUUAGUAAUGUCUAAUUCAAGUUUAAGAAUAGACUGACGCAACUACCUAAAGAAACUAUACAAAGCUAGGGAUGUUUUCUUUUGAAGACCUAUCAGAGUAUCUACAAUUAUAGAGUUCAAGAGAAAGACCUAACAAAAAGAUAUCAAAAAACCAAAAGAGGACCUAAGCCAGUUGCUCAUGCUCAAACUAUAAAAAAAAUCAUUUACAACAUAAUGCAUAACAAAGGCAACUAUGAAAAGGUUAAUGACCAUGUCAUUGGCAUUGCUAGGACAAAAUGAGGACACUUGAAGAACAGGCAGAUGACAGGUACUGGGAUUGGUCUGAAAUAGGAGAUAAAGAGUCAUCCAAGGAUCUGCAGACUUUGACAAAAAGGAGACUAUUGUAAUAACUUUCCAAGAUAGUGUGAAACAGGCAGCAAAAAUAAUGGUCUGUCUUGUGGGAAGAAGCUGCUGCACUGGAAACAAUAGCAUGAAAUUGGGACUGUAUUUUGGAAUCAAGAUAAAGCAAUCAGGAGCAGCAGAUAGCACACAGAGACAGCAGGAAAUUCCAAGAUCUGUCAAGGUUCCCAGUUGCAACAGGACUUCAGACAAUUCGCCAAAACAUUUUGUCAACACAACUUCAAUCCCUGGCUCAGGAAAGAAAAGAAGGCUUGAGGCAGAAUCUGCAGAAUUUUGCAGAAAAUUUUCAGGAUACGGCUGGCCUGAGACUCCAAACUCUGCUGCAAAAACAAAACUGCAGAACCAACACCUGCAGAAUAUGGGCUGAAAUUGAAACCUAGGGAGACUGCACACAUAGUUGCUUCGGCUGAAAAUACUGGUCACCAAAGCCAGAGAACAGAGGCAGGAGAGAUCAAUGAUGGAGCAGCAACCCUGAACAACAGCUACCUUAGAAGAAAGCAACCAGCAAAGAAGGAAAGCCAGGAGGAGAAGACUGAGAACACAGAAGGCAAGGUUGUGCAAAAAAUGCAGAACCUGCAGGACACCAGAACCUAUCCAGAAACUCUUGCAACAAAGAACAGUCUGUAUCCAGAGCAAAAACCUGCAGAGGGCCAGCACCAGAGGGACCAUGCAGAAGCAGAAGCAGGGAGCCUGUGGCAAAAAAGUUGGCAGUUGAAUGAUGCAGCAGGAUGGAGAACUGAAAAAACCAUACUCUGGGGGUGGAGACAGCAUGGCUGCAGCAAUUUGGCAUAAUUAAAUGGCAGCAUACAACCAUAGAAGUCAUCCUGAUGUGGAUAGGAACAGCUGGUUGUAACAAGGACUUCUUCAAGGAGUGUCUCUGCAAAACAGCUAAACAUAUUAGAACCAAGGAACUCCUGUGAUGGGAAAACCUGUCCACCAUCCAACGGCUUUUACACCUCCGCCAGGCAAGUAUCCUCACUCCCAGCUGGAAAUUACACAUCUGAUCUGAAAAUGCUCUUUGGCAGUCCCCAAUUCUUUGCUAUGGAUGCAUUUUUAUUGGUGAAUUUGAAUUUUGUGAGAUCUGAACCUUUAUCUCUAACCAUUCUUCUAAUAUUGUCAACAAUCCUCUCUUUAGUUUGCACGUGUGAAGACAAGCAUCUAUAAUUACGCUCUCUCCAAAUUGAAUAAACACUAGCACCCAAACUAAUCUUAGCCAAUGUUUGCACGAGGCCUUCCCCUUUCCAAUCCUUGGUGAUAGCUUGGGUUCUAUUACCCAGUAAGGAUAGCCCAAGGAUUUUAAUCCAUAUAAACCAAGUAAAAGGGCAUCAAAAGAACAGGUUGUCGCAAUUCUCCUCACUUUAAUUGCGAAGACAACAAUUAGCAUUGUUGAUUAACCCAUAUCCUAGGAGUUUGUCUUUCAUGUUGAGCCUCUCCAUUAUAGCUUUUGUCUUUUGUGUUGAGCCUCUCCCUUAUAGCCAACCAAAGAAUAAUAGAGUGCUUAUGGAUAUUCUUCUUGUGUCAAACCAAACCAUCCCAACACACUCUUGUCUUCCUAGAAUGCAACUCAUUCCAAGCCAAGUUAAUUGAAAAGUUACCAUUGGAAGAAGGGUGGACAAAUAGCUUUAUUUUCCCCACUUGAAGGACUUAUGGUAACCUUUUCUUUCAACUCAAUCCAAUCUCAAGAGUUUGUCUUCAGUCACUUCCAACGCCUCUCCUCGAUGAUGUCACUGACCUUAGCUAGGGUGCUAAAACCGAAGUUAUCCAUAAUAUGGCUACCAAAGUUUUCCAUGAUGGGACCUAGGGAAUGCCAAUUUUCAUGCCAAAGGAAGGUACUACUCCCAUUGCCAAUGAGGAUUUUAAUUUUUCCUCUAAUCUCUUCUCUGAUCUUCAUAAGCUUUUUCCAAAACCAAGGACUUUCCGCCAGCACAUUAACUUCCCAUAAGCUUUUCCUUUUCAAUCUGUUAUUUUUCACCCAAUUCGCCCAAAUGGAGUAGCUUUUGGAUUGGGCAAGGUUCCAAAGAUGUUUAGUGAUAGCCGUUUUGUUUCAUUUCUUAUUAGUCAUGAGGCUUAAACUGCCUUCUCCUUAGGAACACACACAUCAUCUCAUGCCACCUUAGCUUUGUGUUUAUUCAUAUCUACCCCUGCCCAAAAGAAGGUUCUCAAACUAGCAUCAAUAUCAGUAAGGAUCUUAGCAGGAAGGAAGAAAAUGGAAGACCAAUAAAUUUGGAUGCUAAAAAGAAUGGCUUUUACAAGAGUGAGUCUUUUAGCGUAGGUGAGAGAUUUACUUAUCCAAGAAGUGAUUCUUUCAAUAAUUUUUUCAGUAAGAACCUUGCAAUUUUCUUUAAAUAGCUUGGUGGAAACCAUGAGGACCCCAAGAUAUUUUAAAGGAAGAGUGCCAACUUCAAAAUUGAGGAUCCCACUAAUGCUAGCCUUCUCAUCAUUUGAAACACUGGAAAGGAAAAUGUUGUUGUAAUGAUUAGCUUUGAGACCAGACCAGUUAUGGAAAUAAUCCAAAGCUUCCUUGAUGAUCUUAACACCUUUGAUAUCAACCUUGCAAAAGAGAAUUAAAUCGUCUACAAAGCAAUGAUGAGUGAUUUUGCUAGCCUUGCAUCUCCAGUGGUACUCAAACUCCUUUCUUGUGGCUAACUUGUCAAGAAGUCUUGAAAACUCAUCCAUGACCAUCACAAAAAGGUAAGGGGAAAUUGAGUCUCCUUGUCUAAGGCCCCUUGUGCUCUUGAAGAAUCCUGUAAGCUCCUUAUUAAUAUAGAUGGAAAAAAAUGGUGUAGUAAUACAUUGUUCAAUCCAAUUCACAAAAGCCAAAGGAACACCAAUAGUUUAAAGGAUUGUAAGGAUAAAGUCUCAAUUCACCAUAUCAUAUGCUUUCAUAAGGUCCACUUUGAUAGCACAUCUCUUCCUUCUUUACUCUUGCUUGUGAUAGUUAAGGAAGAGCUCUUGACAUAGGAGAAUGUUGUUACCAAUUUUCCUUCUCCCAAUAAAAGUUGUUUAAGCCUUGUUAAUAAAAUUAGGUAGGAUACCUUUGAGUCUAUUAGCCAAAAUCUUCGCAAUACAUUUAUAGAGGAUGUUGCAACACGAGAUAAGCCUAAAGUCUUUACAAAGAGAAGGUUUAUCACAUUUCAAGACAAAAGCAAUAGUUGUGCAAUUUAAUUCCUUAAGAAGGAAACCCGAAGAGAAGAAUGAUUUGAUAGUUUCACAAAUAUCUUGGCCAGUGAUAUCUUUAUAAAAAAAGAGCAUUGAAACCAUCGGGCCCAAGGGCUUUCUCCUUGCUUAUACCAAAUAACAUGUUUUUGAUUUCUUCAAAAGAAAUUUCCUUUAUCAUUUCCUUAGCAAUGUCAUGUGGGACAUGAUAAUCAAGAAGCCCCUCAUAACCUUUGUCCCUAAACCCUAAGCUUAGUCCCUUCAAGUGUUUACUAAAGGCAUCUUUUAUCAUCUCCUUAUUAGUGGUGAACAAGCCAUCCUCAAGAAAAAUGUUAUUGAUGGAAUUUCUAUUUCUCCUUCCCUUGAUACACUUAAAGAAAUAGCUAGAGUUAUUUUCUCAUUCUUUAAGCCAUUGGAUCCUUGACUUCUGCUUGAGAAGAAAGACUUCUACUUAAGAAGAGAAUCUUCUUCCCAACUAAGGUGCUUAAGAUUGCUUGAAAGCCUUUUUUCCUCCUCAUAAAGCACCAUGUUCCUCGGGUUGUAAGCAAGUGUACUUUGAACAUAUUCAAGCGCAAAUCUUGCAACCUUCACCCUUUUGGAAAUACACCAAUAAUCUUUUUUAUUGAGAUCCUUCAAGGAUUUUUUUUACAUUUUUGACUUUACUAAUGACCCGAUACAUAAGACUACCAUUGAUCUCCUCACUUCAAGCUUCUCUCACCAAUGGAGAAAAUUUUCAUAUUUCACCCAAAGAUUGAAUAAUUUAACUGCAUUCUCCUCUUACACUCAACAAUAUGAGGAGAGUGAUCUGAGAGACCCCUUAGGUUUGAAACCACUAAUGAUCUAAGGAAAAUGCCACCCCAAUUGUCCUUGACAAGGACUCUAUCAAGCUUGCACUCUAUUCUUCUUUUGCCUUUGCUAUUAUUGCACCACGUAAAGAAAUGGCUCAUACAUCUCAAGUCCUUAAGGUGAGAGUGGUAACAACACUAGUUAAGGUCAUCACAAUGAGCAUCAAGAAGAACGGUCCCUCUAUUUUCUCUUAAGCUUCUAAUGGCAUUGAAGUCCCCAAGCACUACCCAAGGGGAAUUUCUAGAAGCACCCACUUGCCUUUUUAAGUCCUCCAACAAAAGCUUUCUUUCACUAGUGAAGUUAAAGCCAUAAGCAAAGAAACAAAGUUUUUAAAAGACUUGCCUGUCAAGAUUACCUCACAAUGAACCACUUGCUCCAACUUACUCAAAAUUUUAACAUCAAUCGAUCUUCAUUUGGUCCCACGCCAACCAUAUACGCCCUCUAGGAUUGAGGUCAUUAUUGUUGACAAAGUUCCACUCUCCAAAAUAGUUGUCUAACUCUAUCCAUAUUAGCUUCUCUAACUCAGGUUUCCAAUAUAGCCAUAAGAACAAGAUUGUUGCUAUUGAUAAAAUACUUCACUUUUUUUCGUUUAAUAAGGGAAUUGAGAACCCUAAUAUUCCAAGCGCCAAAUCUAAUCAUGAGGAGUAUCAAAGGGUGGGAGAUCUCAAGUCUUCUUUGCAAGCGUCCUUUUUUGUUUUCUAUUUGAGUUACCCUUGCCAACUAGUUGUAUGUCCUUUUCAUCAACUUUUAAAUAGAUUCCAAAGGGGACAAUGGCAAGAGAGUCUAAAUCUUCCACCUAGGUAGUUUGUUUGUCCGAGAGGUAACAAACUAACUUGUUCAGCAGAGAUAGAGGAAUAACCUUGCAAAAUUAUCUAACGCCAACUUGCCACCAUUUGCCAAAACCUGUACGGUAUCCUGCAAGGAAGCUGUAUGAGCUCUUUUAUCCUUUGUCACAACAGAACCAAAAAAGACCUAUAUAAAGCCAGGUGCAACAACCAAGAGGGAAGUCUAAACUUCUUCAACACACAAUGAGGGCCCUUUCGCUGGAUGGGACAAGCACUCUUUUUUUCGAACACAACCGUGGAACAGUUCUGAACUGCACUAAGACCAAAGACAGCAGCUUUACCUUUGGAAGAAAUACUCAAUGGAACACCAAUUGAAGAAGCAGUCUCUAAUACUUGUUCACUGGGCGGAUACCCUUCCAUGAGGUAGGCAAAUAUGUUAGAAACCUCAACACCCACGGAAUCAGUUUUGGAGGUAGGCCUGGGAAAGGAUUUAGCACUUGCAGUAACUCUUUACCAUUUUUCCUUUUUGGCAACCAUAUUAAGGUUUCUAGUUCACUUUCUAACGAUAAAAGGUUGCCCUCCAAGGAGUCUAGGACCAUCCUCAAUAAUUUGAAGUAAAUCAUCCAAGUUGCUAAAUUUAAUUAAGAGCAUAUUUUGACAGCCCACAAUUAGCCCAAAGUCUCUCAACAAAACACUGAGGCAAAAACCAACAGCAAGGUUGCCCCAUUUCUUUGCUCCUAAUAUAGCUAUUUCUUUGAGGGAACCGCACAAGCAUAGCCAGAGGAAGAGCUAGCAAGCGAGUGGAAAAAUUCAAAAGUCGAACAACCUUUUUUCUUCUCGAAAAGCUUGGCCCAAGGAUGGCCAACCAAGGGUUUUGCACUUGAGAUUUCAUAAGAGCCAUCGCCAUAAUCCACAAGACCCAAGGGGGUAGAAACAUCCGAGAGAGGACCUUGGAAGAAUUCUGAAUACCUUUAGCAAUUUGAGUACCUAAACUAGCAACAGAAACGAUAGGAGGAGCCAUGACCAAGGCCAUCAACCAGAGAGCUGCAACCAAGAGAGCAAAAAACCAACACCUAGCCAAAGUAAAUCAAGAGAUCAGAAGGAAUACCAUGCAAAGCAACAAAUAGAACAUUGUAUGGCAAAAGAAACAACCACUUCGAGGCAUCCACAUAGAAACACAAAAGCAAGCAAAACCACAAUGGUAGCCACCCUAAGCAACACAAGAAAAGGCCCAGACUAAACCCCCAGCCUUAAACCUUAGGCAAGAAAACCAAAUGCCAAAGAAUGUAAUCCAGGAGAAAAGCCCAAGAACUAGAAAACUAAUUUAGAAACAUAGCAAAAUCGAAACCCAACCGACACACUAGCGCCACACUAAUAGAAGAGGCUUAGAACCAAAGAAAGCCCAACCUAGAAGCAGGGUACCACACAAGCCCCACGUGGCAACCAAUGCACCCAAAUCAAACGAGGUGCCAAAAGAUGAAAAAGCAGCAGGAGAUGACAACUACAACCAGCCUUGAACAAACAACCUAAAACAUGUUAGCCAGACGAAAAUAAGGCAGAACAGCUCUAACACAAAGCAAGCAACCGCACAACAAACAAGAACUAGAGACAAACUAGGAGUGCCAACGUAUCGAUCCCCACAAACCAAAUUAAGGUUGAAAACCCUUAUUUGCAAGAAAAAAUCCUCUCUACGUCCCCAUAUCCAUGUGAAAAAAUCUCCUCCUUAUAUCCUUUAAACAUAUAAAUAUAUUAAAUAACAAAAUUAACUAAAAUUAAAACCAACCCACUAUUUCAAAUUUCGCGAAUAACAUAUGUUAACUGCCUUAAUAUGCACAAUAAAAGCAUAAAUAAUCUAAAACUAUAAUGAUAUAUUAGUAUUUUAAGUAAAGAUAUUAAUAUAAAGGACUAGAAUGGGAUGGGACGAGACGAGACAAGAUGGGACGGGGCAGGGCGGGCCGAGGCGAAGCAAGGAAUGGACAUAUGUAUCCCUUCCCUAAUUGCGAAGAUAUUUUUUAUACUUGUCUUUACCCUUUUUCUCAUUUCUAUUAGAAAUUUUUUUCCUGUUAGGGUCGCGGACCCAAAAUUCGGAUCAAAAAUACCAUUUCUAAUAGGGACUUGUCUUCACAUUGAAGGUACAGAUUUAAAUAUUAAUGUUAAUCCUUUAUCUACUAGCUUGAACUUUAGGGUCAAGUGGUAACAUAAUAUUAGAGCCAAAGCUUUUUGGAUUAAAUGUGAACUUAACUGAAGGAGUUAUACAAGACUAUAAAUCUUUGAAGGCUUAUCUUGUUGAGCUAAAAUAAGCUCAAGUAUUAUCUUAAUGGAGGUAAUCGUGCAACAUUGUAAACCUAACAAACUAAUCCUUUUAUCUAUCUAUUAACUCAAAAUUUUUAAGUUGGGUGGUAUCUUAUUGUGGUAUUGUUAGGAACUUGGGACCUUCAGCACUUGAAUCACAACACUCCAACAAACUAAUGCACAAACAAUCUAUUUCCAAGAAAUUGAAACAAACCAACACACUAGAAACUGAAUGAAAGAACUUUUACUGUUGUUUUAUAUAUGAACAAGGAGAACUACAUCACAUUUACAAAUUUGGUCCCUUGCAGUAGGUAACCAAAAAGAAGAAAAUAAAUAGAAUCCAAAAUGAUAACCAGCAAUUCAAGGAAUCAGGACCUUCCAAAUCAAACAAAGGUUGCCAAAAAAAAAAACCCAAAUUCUCUUGCUUUUGCAUUGUUACAACCAACUCUAAUAAAUAUUCUAAUUUAAUCUAGACUUAACUAAAAGACUCUGCAUAACACUCAAAAAUACAAAAUUCAUGUAUUCCAUUUUACCCGUUACACACCUAUUACAUUUGCCUGCUACUUGCAUCUUCACUCCAAUCCAAAUAAUUUUAUAUCAACAUACCUGCUACAUGUAUCUUCACUCUAAUCCACAUUCUAUUUUCAACAAUCCUAACAAGUAUCAAAGCCAAAGAAAUCAAAUUCAACUUCCUAAAUUUCAAGCAGAUAAAAAUAUAAUUGAAGCCUCUACCUAAUUAUUUGAUAAUAUUUUAAAUCAAUUAUUUACUUAACUGAAGGAAUGGUGUAACUUUGUAAAACCUAAAAGGCUAAUCUUUUUAUCUGAAGCAUGGGGAAAAUUGAUAGAUAAAUUGGUUAUAGUUUCCUCCUAGUGGUUGGUGCAAUGAAGAAAUAAAAUAUUUAACUUUAUGAGGUCUCCUACCUAAUUCGGUACUAUGAGCUUCAUUUAAUAAGAAAUAUUUGAAUGUGGUAUGUUGACUAAUGGAUUUUGUUUCUCUUGCAUUAUUAUUAUGCAUUUUUAUCCUUUUAUUCAUGGUUUGAAAUCAUCUUUUGAUUUUGUGUGAGCUGAAAUUGUUUAAAUGCAACUUAAAACUAUGAAAAUCAGUUGGCGUAGAAGGUCAAUUUUUCAGUUGUGUGCAUGAAAAAGGGUUUACAUUAAAUGGCAAUGGCAAUUCAUUCAUAGCCUUUAGGGGUGGAUUCAAGCCAAGCUCAGGGCUAGCUUGAGCUUGACUCAAAUCCAUAAUACUCAGUUCAAAUUCGAGCUUGUUUGAGUUAGUAAAUUUUAUCGUUGGAGGGUUUGUCAACGAGAUAAACAAUACUGUUGAUAGGAUAACAAUAUAAGCAAAGGGAUAGACAAUGUCACCAAAGAGAAAAGGGAGCCAAACUCAAGAGUUUGGCUCAAAUUCACCUCUGGUGGCCUUAAUUACACACACUAAAAAGAAGUAGAAUUUAUAUUCUCUUAUCUGGAAAUAAUGUUUGGUGGGCGAGUAAUAAUAUUAUUUUAGCUAUCAGAAACUAUUAUGUCCAUUGGGACAAAGAAAUUUGAAUUGCAUAUGUUGUCUUCACUCACUGUUUUUGUAGCUUGUGGUCAAUGCUCUUAUAAGUAUCAAGGGCAAUUUUUAUCAAUAUCUGUAAAUAUUUGGGAUUACUUGUUUACUCACAACUUAAGAUAUGUUGAUAGUGCCCUAAAUAUCCACUGUUUACCCCAGAAGGGCUGUUGUUCUAAAGAUGGAACUGGAAUGUGCUAGUUUUAUAUAUGUGUGCUUGUGUCGACAUAGUUUGAAGUUGGUGUAGGUUGUGACUGCGGUCAAGAGAUGGAGUAUGGUUUGUGCAAGUUUUCAUUCUCCAAUGUCUUUUUUUAACCUUUUAGAGUUGUAUAUAAGGUGAUGCUAGUAAAGCAUUCAUGGUUAUACAAUGUUCCAUUAAACAGAUUUUGGUAGUGUGACAUGUGCAUGACACACUGAAAAUGUAGAAAAAAAAUAAAAAUAAAAAUAAAGUUGCAUGAAGUGAUAUGAUACAUGUUAAUUUCAUGAAACUCGGCUCUGAAGCUGUUAGCUGCUGCUUCUUUUUUUUUUUUUUUUAAAUUUUCAUCUAAUUAUAAUUUUCUUUUUUUCUCAAAGGUUUGAGUUUGAAGACCAUAUAUCUACUACAUUACUUUUGUGGUCAUAUUCUUAAAGACAUUAAAAUAGGGUUUGCUAAUCAAGAACUAGCUGUGAGAUGUCAAAUCACGGAAUUCUGGUGCUGAAAAUCUGCAUAUUUAAACUAUCUACUGUAAUAGAGGAUGUAAUUUGAAAAAAGGAAAAACCUUAAAUUUGUUCAUCAAUCUAGUUCUAGUUUUAUUUGCUUGACACCCCCCACGGUUAUGAACAUGCCAUGAAGCAUGUUAGGGCUCUCACUUGACCACUGGAAAACUAUAUAUGAACCAAGAUCUAAUCCUUUCUGCUAAGCUUGCACUAAAAUCUUUUAUGGUGGCUUGGUGUUGAACCUGGAAUGAUCCUGCAGGAAUGUCUUUUACAGUCUGUCAGAACCUCAUCAUGUCAUACUCUGAAAUGGCCUUUUUUUUAAAGCUAUAGUGUUUGUCUCAUUAUUUACACCUUUUUCGCUCCUAUCUUGCAUUUCUUUAGUUCACCAUCUGUCAUGCUUUUCUCCCGGACCUAGUGCAUUGAUCUUCUAUACUCUUGUAUAUAGUGUAAAAGAGGACUUGCACUCAUUAUUUUGCCUUGACUGGACAUUGUUAUUGUUUCGAUAAUCAUAUGCCAGUUAGGGCUGCCUUAGAGCUAAACCAAACCUGAACAUGGACUGAUUUGAGCUCAGUUCAAAUCUAUAAUGGCUAAUUCGAGACUUCAAGUUUGUUUGAAUUGACUAGAUAUGUUGUUGAAGGGUUGCUAAAAGGAUAAACAAGAUCGCCGGAAGAGGAUUUGAGUUGAACUUGAAUUGAGCUUCCGAAUGAACUUGGAUUUGGAUCCAACCCAACUGCCACUUACCUUUCAGCUUUUCAUCAUUUUUGUUAUGUCUUUAUGCCUUUGAUGUGAAAACAGCAAGCUCAACAGGAAGGUAUGAGGUACCUGCUGCGCCAAACUUUUUGUUCAUAUCUUAUGUAGUGGAAAGUCGAUAAUUGCAGUUUUAUUGUCUAAUCAUGUUUUAGCAUCUUCAUCAAAUUGUGACUGUCUUAAGUUAAUAACAAAUUGUCAGUAUUUUAUUAUCCUCUUAA